ACACAGUGACAGAGUUAGGGAGGGAGUGACUAGUGACAGAGAGAGAGAUGGGGUGACUAGUGACAGUCACCCCCUCCCUCACUCUGUCUUCACUCCCUCCCUCUGUCACUAGUCACUCCCUCCCUCUGUCACUUGUCACUCC
This 142-nucleotide microRNA precursor is filed under the name Pelobates cultripes (western spadefoot toad). The record is from RNAcentral. Lineage: Eukaryota; Metazoa; Chordata; Amphibia; Anura; Pelobatidae.